Molecule: long non-coding RNA, 1388 nt
Organism: Canis lupus familiaris (dog)
Lineage: Eukaryota; Metazoa; Chordata; Mammalia; Carnivora; Canidae
Exons: 9
Source: RefSeq, a predicted model, not a curated record
CCCCGACCGCCGGGCGGCGCAGCGUCCUGAGGGGCGGGCCCGGCAGGCACCACCCUCGAAGAGGCGGAACCUGCCCAGGCGGAGGUCCGGACCCCGGUACCUGAUAGGAGCCGCCGGUCAGGGCCAGCUCCGCUAGGACCGCUCGGCCAUUAGCGACACAGCUGGAAAACUGAAGGCAGCCACAAUAUAGUAUGAGUAAAGAAAUUUGAAAUAGGUGAAAAAUAAAAAAUAAAAAAAGAAUGGAAAAUAAAGAUGGAAUGAAGACAAAAGAGACCUCACUAUCCUUCUGUCACCGCCUUGGCUUUCACAUAUUUGUUUCCUGAUUACCCUUUUGUGCUCUGAUGAUGGACAGGAUUUGCUGAGAACAAGUAGAGGGUCUAGUGCUGGACCAUUUGGCUUUUGGUGGCUGUCUCUUUAAUUACAAAGAGUUCUGAGGAGACCCAUAAUAAAACAGACAAAGAAGGAAGUGUGGGGUAGAGGACUGUGGUUUGCAAUUUGCAAUUCUGUUCCUCCACUGGUUCUUAAGGGAGUUGGGCAAAAAUAAUUUAUAUGUUCUUCACAUCUUUGAGGAAUGCAUUAUUUAACCAGAUGGAGAAACUGAGGCAGCACGUGGUUAAUUGUUUUUCCCCACCUUCCACAUGUAUGAAACAUCAAAUUUGAAAUUACCAUUUAUGAAUAUCUUCUGCCUUCCAGCUCUGUGCUGCAGAAAGAAAUUGCCAGUGGAUGAGAUGGUUCAAGUUAUGUGGACCUCUUCUUCCCUUGUGCCCCCCGAGUUCCUGCUUACCUAAAUGACACUUUGUUUCCCACAAAUGAUCCUGGCUGCUCUCUCAAAUCUGUGGAAUUUUCAGAUAUCUCUUCUUCAAGUGGAAGAGUAUCCUAACAUAUUCAGGGGAUGACUAUCAGAGUCUGUGGCUACACUGGAGUUGGAAGAUUGUUGUAGUCAAAGAAUCCAUUGAACUUUGGCCUUUGUGGACAGUUAACCUGGGAAUGGAGCAGCACCGUAUGCAUCCGUCCUUUCCAUCAAGGAAAAGCAAACCUUUUCAGAAACACACCUUCCAAUAACUUCUUAAGCCUCCCUGCUUAAUCCUGAGUCAAAAGGUACCCUGCCCCCCUGCCCCCAACUUCAAGAAAACAAGGGACAAGACUGUCAAGAGUGACCAAGACAAAUCCUGAUCCAUUGCCUAUGUCUGGGCAUAGUGACCUUUGCACAAGAUUGGAGUUCUAUUAGCAAGGAAGCAAGGUGGGAAAUGAACAUUGCAAAAAGGUAGUUAACACAGGGUGUUCGACUACUGACGUUCUUCCAUAGAAACAAUAUUGGGACAUUGGUAUAUUGGCAUAUUUAUAUAUUUUUACCUCUUGCAAAUAUAGUAAACGUAUUCUUUACUAUA